RNAcentral lists this small nuclear RNA (18 nucleotides) under Arabidopsis thaliana (thale cress). Its description in RNAcentral is "snRNA_16187". The record is from RNAcentral. Lineage: Eukaryota; Viridiplantae; Streptophyta; Magnoliopsida; Brassicales; Brassicaceae.
CUCUCUUAAGGUAGCCAA